GAGCUGCGGGUAGCUUCGGGAUCGUCUUUCUAAGUUAAUGUUUACGAGCAUCGCUUAGCAACAGCGUUAGCUCGACGGAAGCGUCGCCAUGACAACAACAAUAAUGCACAACGUAGCACGUUCUAAGAAAAGGUGAGCACAGAGGCAGAGCUUCUAGUCUCCAGGAGACAGCUGAGCAAGAAAGUGCUGUCCCGUGGGGUGCAAUUAAAGUGAACGAAGACGACACCCCUGCCAUCUGAUCACCUGGUAAAAUGGCUUUACAGCCAUUCGCUGAUUGAUCCAUCUACGGGUACAGCCAUCCUGCUGAGCAAGGGUUGUGCUGCCAUUGGAGGAACAUUUCAGUCACUGAGGCGGAGGGGCUGGAAGGAGGAGUUGGCCGUCCAAUUGGGUUCUGGGGUGCUUCCCUGUUACUGCGGAGCCGGGGGUGGUCUGCUUGUCUCCACCCCAGGGAAAAGGGUAACAUCUCCUGGGUCUAGGUGUGGUUCCAGGUCCAGGGUACCUGGACCUGGGGCAUAGAGUAUGUUUGGG
This is a long non-coding RNA of Oreochromis niloticus (Nile tilapia), 528 nucleotides long. RefSeq lists it as uncharacterized. The record is from RefSeq and is a predicted model, not a curated record. Lineage: Eukaryota; Metazoa; Chordata; Actinopteri; Cichliformes; Cichlidae. The transcript is spliced from 3 exons.